CGGGACGGGUGAGUAACGCGUGGGUAACCUACCCUGUACACACGGAUAACAUACCGAAAGGUAUGCUAAUACGGGAUAAUAUAUUUGAGAGGCAUCUCUUGAAUAUCAAAGGUGAGCCAGUACAGGAUGGAUCCGCGUCUGAUUAGCUAGUUGGUAAGGUAACGGCUUACCAAGGCGACGAUCAGUAGCCGACCUGAGAGGGUGAUCGGCCACAUUGGAACUGAGACACGGUCCAA
This 236-nucleotide ribosomal RNA is filed under the name uncultured bacterium. Its description in RNAcentral is "partial 16S ribosomal RNA". It matches the Rfam family "Bacterial small subunit ribosomal RNA", at positions 100 to 334 of the family's 1533-position model. The record is from RNAcentral.